Long non-coding RNA from Camelus dromedarius (Arabian camel), 1228 nucleotides. RefSeq lists it as uncharacterized. The record is from RefSeq and is a predicted model, not a curated record. NCBI's taxonomy places the organism in Eukaryota, Metazoa, Chordata, Mammalia, Artiodactyla, Camelidae. The transcript is spliced from 4 exons.
AGGGGAAUCUUGUCAUUGGUCUUGUUUUUUAAAAUCCCAGUUCACCCCUUACCACCCUCUCAUGCUCUCCAGGUGGUCCUGUGACCAUCAGCACCCGAUAGACGAUUCCUUUACUCUUAAGGACACAAGACAGAGGAAAGGAUCUUUUUUCUUGUCAUAGCCACUGGCCCAUCAAGUAAAAAAGGCCAACACAUUGCAGUAACUCCAUCCCCAAGUGAAAUAGUAAACCUAUAUUACGUAAAGGAAGUACAAGACGAUUAAGUAAGUACAUACAACACAAGCACAAAUUGCAUCCUUAAUAUGUUUGCCCUUUGAGGAGCAGAAGGGGAAUGAACCAGGAGAGAAAGCAGGGAGAAAAGAAAAAUACAGGAUAUGGAACGGGCCAUGGAUUCAGUGCAGGAAGGACCUGAGUCCUGAAGGAGCUGGACUUUCAGUUUGUAGGAUGUGAUUGGUCUGUAGGUCUGUUGUCCAAGUCUUCUUCCCGUGGUGUCCCAGCUGCUGGUCUCACACAGAUUAGAGCCUGUUCUCCAUAUCCUCGGCUGCCCACUGACAUCCUGCUUCACACCAAACAGCCGCUCUGGAUGCAUCUUAAUGUGAGCACUUCCCCUCCUCCCCUCUGAGAAGGGAGCCUGGCAGCUCUCCACUUUGGCGCAGAGUGAGCCUCAGGCUCCAGCACCCUCGCAGUGCAGUCCUUUGCUCUGCUGUCCAUCCUUCAUGAGACCUGCCCUGAGACAGGGCACCUCAUUAUUUCAAGAUGGCUGCUGGAGCUCCAGCUAUAUCAUCCACGUUCUGGACUGCAGAGAGGAGAAAACAGGGAGGACAAACUGACCCGGCUGAGUCUGUUCCCUUUAAGGAACCUUUCCAGUUUCUUCACAAAACUUCUGCUUACAUCUCAUUGUCCGGAACUUAAUCAAAUGGCCAAACCUAGCUGCAAGGAAGGCUGGGAACUGUAGUCUUUAUUUCAGAUAGCACUAUACCUUGCUAAAUAUCAAGGUUUGGUUACCAAGGAAGAAGAGAAGAGUGAAUAUCAGGUAGGGAACUAGCAAUUUCUGCCACACCAGCUCUGACCUUUGCCCUGAGAUGUAGACUUACGUAUCUUGAUGCCCAUAAUAUAUCCAUUUGGAUGUAAAAUGGGCAUUUCAAACUAAACCUGGACAGACCUCUUGAUUCUUCCCAUGCUCAAAUCUACUCCUCCCCAACCUUUUCCAUUCCAGUAAAUGACCUCACC